GCACCCGUAGCUCAGCCGGAUAGAGCGCUGCCCUCCGAAGGCAGAGGUCGUGAGUUCGAAUCUCGCCGGGUGCGCCA
Molecule: transfer RNA, 77 nt
Filed under: Alphaproteobacteria bacterium
Lineage: Bacteria; Pseudomonadati; Pseudomonadota; Alphaproteobacteria
Description: tRNA-Arg
Rfam family: tRNA
About the family: Transfer RNA (tRNA) molecules are approximately 80 nucleotides in length. Their secondary structure includes four short double-helical elements and three loops (D, anti-codon, and T loops).
Source: RNAcentral